This is a long non-coding RNA of Mesocricetus auratus (golden hamster), 1206 nucleotides long. RefSeq lists it as uncharacterized. The transcript has 8 exons. The record is from RefSeq and is a predicted model, not a curated record. NCBI's taxonomy places the organism in Eukaryota, Metazoa, Chordata, Mammalia, Rodentia, Cricetidae.
AGCACUAAAUACCAGCAAAGAAUUAAAAAGAAAAGGAAGAAGAAAGGAGGAGGAGGAGGAGAAGAUGACGAUGAAGGCAAAUGAAUAUAAAGGGAUGUUUGUUCUUCAUGUGGUCUGAGACUAUACCCCAAUACUGUGGGCUGAAGAACAGAGAAAAGAUAUCCUCAGAAAGAAAACAGGAGGAAAGCAAAAUGGAGACCAAGGAUAGACCAGAGUCACUUCCUCAAGACCGUCAUUUACAUCUAGGAGUUUGAGGGGGAAAGAAGACAUCAAAACUGGACUCUCAGUAAUACCCACAGUCUGAAGCCAAAGAUUACCUACAGUCCUGUAGGGAAAGGUAUCCCAACAGAAGAAUUACAUCUCUGUUCCUGUGGGGGACAGUUUCCCCAACAAAGUGUUACAGUCCUUGGAAAGGUUUUCCUAAUGCAAGUGCAGCAACUCUGCUCCAGAGGAAUGUUACAGCUCUGCUCUGCUUAGGGAGCUUCCCAGCAGAAAUGUAGCAGUUCUGUUCUACUCUCCUCCACUAUGGCUCUUCUGAAGUAAGUGAACGCUGAAAUGGUUGGAGAGAAAUUUCUAGAUGUGGGUCUUGAAGGUGGAAAUUUGAGAGAAUAAAGCAUUGAACGCGAAACCUGAGCCAAAGCAUAGAGAUGAGAACAUGAUCUGUUUUGCAGAGGAGUGAUCCACCUUUCUAGACUCUAGUGUGUGCCAGAAACUGUGGGAAACUGCGCAGCAAACGGUCAAUGAGGUUGAGUCAGGCUACAGCAAGCUCAGAAUGGUCUUUUGUGGGUUGUGACUGCAGUCUUCACAAUGACCCAUGACAUCACCUUACGGCUCAGCUACUCUGCUACUUGGACGUUAUUUAACCUGGCUAAAAACACCUUCAAUCCCAGCACUUGGAAGGCAGAGGCAGGUGGAUCUCUGUGAGUUCAAGACCAGCCUGAUCUACAAGAGCUAGUUCCAGGACAGCCUCCAAAGCCACAGAGAACCCCCCCUCAAAAAAACCCACUAGGAAUGAGGGUUUCAAACUUCAAGGAAGAAUCCUGAAUAAUUGGACUUAAGAUGCUUCUGAGACUGGCCUUUAAUUUGAAGGACAGGGAGAGGGGCUGAUCUAGUUUAAGUGCUGGGCAGGCCUGUGUGAUGACAGAGACUCGCGAUUGUAGAUGAAAAGAAUCCUAUCACGAAGAAGAGCUAGAACCAACCUUGGCC